UACGGAGGGUGCAAGCGUUAUCCGGAUUCACUGGGCUUAAAGGGUGCGUAGGCGGGCAGGUAAGUCAGUGGUGAAAUCUCCAAGCUUAACUUGGAAACUGCCGUUGAUACUAUCUGUCUUGAAUAUUGUGGAGGUGAGCGGAAUAUGUCAUGUAGCGGUGAAAUGCUUAGAUAUGACAUAGAACACCAAUUGCGAAGGCAGCUCACUACUCAAUUAUUGACUCUGAGGCACGAAAGCGUGGGGAGCAAACAGG
RNAcentral lists this ribosomal RNA (253 nucleotides) under uncultured bacterium. Its description in RNAcentral is "partial 16S ribosomal RNA". It matches the Rfam family "Bacterial small subunit ribosomal RNA", at positions 524 to 776 of the family's 1533-position model. The record is from RNAcentral.